UUAAGCGACUAAGCGUACACGGUGGAUGCCCUGGCAGUCAGAGGCGAUGAAGGACGUGCUAAUCUGCGAUAAGCGUCGGUAAGGUGAUAUGAACCGUUAUAACCGGCGAUUUCCGAAUGGGGAAACCCAGUGUGUUUCGACACACUAUCAUUAACUGAAUCCAUAGGUUAAUGAGGCGAACCGGGGGAACUGAAACAUCUAAGUACCCCGAGGAAAAGAAAUCAACCGAGAUUCCCCCAGUAGCGGCGAGCGAACGGGGAGGAGCCCAGAGCCUGAAUCAGUGUGUGUGUUAGUGGAAGCGUCUGGAAAGGCGCGCGAUACAGGGUGACAGCCCCGUACACAAAAAUGCACAUACUGUGAGCUCGAUGAGUAGGGCGGGACACGUGGUAUCCUGUCUGAAUAUGGGGGGACCAUCCUCCAAGGCUAAAUACUCCUGACUGACCGAUAGUGAACCAGUACCGUGAGGGAAAGGCGAAAAGAACCCCGGCGAGGGGAGUGAAAAAGAACCUGAAACCGUGUACGUACAAGCAGUGGGAGCCUCUUUAUGGGGUGACUGCGUACCUUUUGUAUAAUGGGUCAGCGACUUAUAUUCUGUAGCAAGGUUAACCGAAUAGGGGAGCCGAAGGGAAACCGAGUCUUAACUGGGCGUUAAGUUGCAGGGUAUAGACCCGAAACCCGGUGAUCUAGCCAUGGGCAGGUUGAAGGUUGGGUAACACUAACUGGAGGACCGAACCGACUAAUGUUGAAAAAUUAGCGGAUGACUUGUGGCUGGGGGUGAAAGGCCAAUCAAACCGGGAGAUAGCUGGUUCUCCCCGAAAGCUAUUUAGGUAGCGCCUCGUGAAUUCAUCUCCGGGGGUAGAGCACUGUUUCGGCAAGGGGGUCAUCCCGACUUACCAACCCGAUGCAAACUGCGAAUACCGGAGAAUGUUAUCACGGGAGACACACGGCGGGUGCUAACGUCCGUCGUGAAGAGGGAAACAACCCAGACCGCCAGCUAAGGUCCCAAAGUCAUGGUUAAGUGGGAAACGAUGUGGGAAGGCCCAGACAGCCAGGAUGUUGGCUUAGAAGCAGCCAUCAUUUAAAGAAAGCGUAAUAGCUCACUGGUCGAGUCGGCCUGCGCGGAAGAUGUAACGGGGCUAAACCAUGCACCGAAGCUGCGGCAGCGACGCUUAUGCGUUGUUGGGUAGGGGAGCGUUCUGUAAGCCUGUGAAGGUGUGCUGUGAGGCAUGCUGGAGGUAUCAGAAGUGCGAAUGCUGACAUAAGUAACGAUAAAGCGGGUGAAAAGCCCGCUCGCCGGAAGACCAAGGGUUCCUGUCCAACGUUAAUCGGGGCAGGGUGAGUCGACCCCUAAGGCGAGGCCGAAAGGCGUAGUCGAUGGGAAACAGGUUAAUAUUCCUGUACUUGGUGUUACUGCGAAGGGGGGACGGAGAAGGCUAUGUUGGCCGGGCGACGGUUGUCCCGGUUUAAGCGUGUAGGCUGGUUUUCCAGGCAAAUCCGGAAAAUCAAGGCUGAGGCGUGAUGACGAGGCACUACGGUGCUGAAGCAACAAAUGCCCUGCUUCCAGGAAAAGCCUCUAAGCAUCAGGUAACAUCAAAUCGUACCCCAAACCGACACAGGUGGUCAGGUAGAGAAUACCAAGGCGCUUGAGAGAACUCGGGUGAAGGAACUAGGCAAAAUGGUGCCGUAACUUCGGGAGAAGGCACGCUGAUAUGUAGGUGAAGCGACUUGCUCGUGGAGCUGAAAUCAGUCGAAGAUACCAGCUGGCUGCAACUGUUUAUUAAAAACACAGCACUGUGCAAACACGAAAGUGGACGUAUACGGUGUGACGCCUGCCCGGUGCCGGAAGGUUAAUUGAUGGGGUUAGCGGUAACGCGAAGCUCUUGAUCGAAGCCCCGGUAAACGGCGGCCGUAACUAUAACGGUCCUAAGGUAGCGAAAUUCCUUGUCGGGUAAGUUCCGACCUGCACGAAUGGCGUAAUGAUGGCCAGGCUGUCUCCACCCGAGACUCAGUGAAAUUGAACUCGCUGUGAAGAUGCAGUGUACCCGCGGCAAGACGGAAAGACCCCGUGAACCUUUACUAUAGCUUGACACUGAACAUUGAGCCUUGAUGUGUAGGAUAGGUGGGAGGCUUUGAAGUGUGGACGCCAGUCUGCAUGGAGCCGGCCUUGAAAUACCACCCUUUAAUGUUUGAUGUUCUAACGUUGGCCCCUGAUCGGGGUUGCGGACAGUGUCUGGUGGGUAGUUUGACUGGGGCGGUCUCCUCCUAAAGAGUAACGGAGGAGCACGAAGGUUGGCUAAUCCUGGUCGGACAUCAGGAGGUUAGUGCAAUGGCAUAAGCCAGCUUGACUGCGAGCGUGACGGCGCGAGCAGGUGCGAAAGCAGGUCAUAGUGAUCCGGUGGUUCUGAAUGGAAGGGCCAUCGCUCAACGGAUAAAAGGUACUCCGGGGAUAACAGGCUGAUACCGCCCAAGAGUUCAUAUCGACGGCGGUGUUUGGCACCUCGAUGUCGGCUCAUCACAUCCUGGGGCUGAAGUAGGUCCCAAGGGUAUGGCUGUUCGCCAUUUAAAGUGGUACGCGAGCUGGGUUUAGAACGUCGUGAGACAGUUCGGUCCCUAUCUGCCGUGGGCGCUGGAGAACUGAGGGGGGCUGCUCCUAGUACGAGAGGACCGGAGUGGACGCAUCACUGGUGUUCGGGUUGUCAUGCCAAUGGCACUGCCCGGUAGCUAAAUGCGGAAGAGAUAAGUGCUGAAAGCAUCUAAGCACGAAACUUGCCCCGAGAUGAGUUCUCCCUGAGACUUUAAGUCUCCUGAAGGAACGUUGAAGACGACGACGUUGAUAGGCCGGGUGUGUAAGCGCAGCGAUGCGUUGAGCUAACCGGUACUAAUGAACCGUGAGGCUUAACCUU
RNAcentral lists this ribosomal RNA (2903 nucleotides) under Escherichia coli 2-177-06_S4_C1. Its description in RNAcentral is "bacterial LSU rRNA". It matches the Rfam family "Bacterial large subunit ribosomal RNA". The record is from RNAcentral. Lineage: Bacteria; Pseudomonadati; Pseudomonadota; Gammaproteobacteria; Enterobacterales; Enterobacteriaceae.